CAGCACCUCAAGUGGUCAGGAUGAUUAUUGGGCCUAAAGCAUCCGUAGCCGGCGCUGUAAGUUUUCGGUUAAAUCUGUACGCUCAACGUACAGGCUGCCGGGAAUACUGCAGCGCUAGGGAGUGGGAGAGGUAGACGGUACUCGGUAGGAAGGGGUAAAAUCCUUUGAUCUAUCGAUGACCACCUGUGGCGAAGGCGGUCUACCAGAACACGUCCGACGGUGAGGGAUGAAAGCUGGGGGAGCAAACCGGAUUAGAUACCCGUGUAGUCC
This 270-nucleotide ribosomal RNA is filed under the name uncultured archaeon. RNAcentral's name for it is "partial 16S ribosomal RNA". It matches the Rfam family "Archaeal small subunit ribosomal RNA", at positions 477 to 747 of the family's 1478-position model. The record is from RNAcentral.